CGACGAUCAGUAGCCGCCCUGAGAGGGUGGACGGCCACAUUGGGACUGAGACACGGCCCAAACUCCUACGGGAGGCAGCAGUGGGGGAUAUUGGACAAUGGGGGGAACCCUGAUCCAGCGACGCCGCGUGAGUGAAGAAGUAUCUCGGUAUGUAAAGCUCUAUCAGCAGGGAAGAAGAAAUGACGGUACCUGAGUAAGAAGCCCCGGCUAACUACGUGCCAGCAGCCGCGGUAAUACGUAGGGGGCAAGCGUUAUCCGGAAUUACUGGGUGUAAAGGGAGCGUAGACGGUGAUGUAAGUCUGGAGUGAAAGGCGGGGGCCCAACCCCCGGACUGCUCUGGAAACUAUGUGACUGGAGUGCAGGAGAGGUGAGCGGAAUUCCUAGUGUAGCGGUGAAAUGCGUAGAUAUUAGGAGGAACACCAGUGGCGAAGGCGGCUCACUGGACUGUAACUGACGUUGAGGCUCGAAAGCGUGGGGAGCAAACAGGAUUAGAUACCCUGGUAGUCCACGCCGUAAACGAUGAUCACUAGGUGUGGGUGGGUAUGGACCCAUCG
Molecule: ribosomal RNA, 554 nt
Filed under: uncultured bacterium
Lineage: Bacteria
Description: bacterial SSU rRNA
Rfam family: Bacterial small subunit ribosomal RNA
Source: RNAcentral